UAUAUAAGUUAUCGUUUAUUUGAUAGUGCCUAUCCUACUUGGAUAACCGUGGUAAUUCUAGAGCUAAUACAUGCUAAAAAUCCCGACUCACGGAGGGAUGUAUUUAUUAGAUUAAAAACCAAUGCCCUUCGGGGCUCCUUGGUGAAUCAUGAUAACUCUACGGAUCGCACGGCCUUGCGCCGGCGAUGGUUCAUUCAAAUUUCUUCCCUAUCAACUUUCGAUGUUUGGGUCUUGGCCAAACAUGGUUGCAACGGGUAACGGAGGGUUAGGGCUCGACCCCGGAGAAGGAGCCUGAGAAACGGCUACUACAUCCAAGGAAGGCAGCAGGCGCGCAAAUUACCCAAUCCCGAUUCGGGGAGGUAGUGACAAUAAAUACUGAUACAGGGCUCUUUUGGGUCCUGUAAUUGGAAUGAGAACAAUUUAAAUCCCUUAACGAGGAACAAUUGGAGGGCAAGUCUGGUGCCAGCAGCCGCGGUAAUUCCAGCUCCAAUAGCGUAUAUUAAAGUUGUUGUGGUUAAAAAGCUCGUAGUUGAACCUUGGGCCUGGCUGGCCGGUCCGCCUCACCGCGUGCACUGGUCCGGCCGGGCCUUUCCCUCUGUGGAACACCAUGCCCUUCACUGGGUGUGGCUGGGAAACAGAACUUUUACUUUGAAAAAAUUAGAGUGCUCCAGGCAGGCCUUUGCUCGAAUACAUUAGCAUGGAAUAAUAAAAUAGGACGUGCGGUUCUAUUUUGUUGGUUUCUAGGACCGCCGUAAUGAUUAAUAGGGACAGUCGGGGGCAUCAGUAUUCAAUAGUCAGAGGUGAAAUUCUUGGAUCUAUUGAAGACUAACUACUGCGAAAGCAUUUGCCAAGGAUGUUUUCAUUAAUCAGGAACGAAAGUUAGGGGAUCGAAGACGAUCAGAUACCGUCGUAGUCUUAACCAUAAACUAUGCCGACUAGGGAUCGGACGAUGUUAUAUUUUGACUCGUUCGGCACCUUACGAGAAAUCAAAU
This 992-nucleotide ribosomal RNA is filed under the name Septofusidium berolinense. RNAcentral's name for it is "SSU rRNA". It matches the Rfam family "Eukaryotic small subunit ribosomal RNA", at positions 102 to 1103 of the family's 1831-position model. The record is from RNAcentral. Lineage: Eukaryota; Fungi; Ascomycota; Sordariomycetes; Hypocreales; Tilachlidiaceae.